This is a long non-coding RNA of Dermacentor silvarum, 508 nucleotides long. RefSeq lists it as uncharacterized. The record is from RefSeq and is a predicted model, not a curated record. NCBI's taxonomy places the organism in Eukaryota, Metazoa, Arthropoda, Arachnida, Ixodida, Ixodidae. The transcript has 3 exons.
CCGCAAUUCAACAGUGUUUACGUCGGAAGGAUCGUCGUGCAGUCGAUGCCGCGACCUGACAUGAAGGAGCGUUUGCCGACUACGCCUAGAAAGGGAUGUCAAGAUUUCGUGAACCAGAGGCAUCUCUACACCGCAUAGGAACCUAAGACAUUUCUGCAGCCGGAACAGCACGGCAAAGCAUCUGAUCUGCAUGCUGCGACAAGGUAUGGCUGGGCCUGGUGAUGAAGUGUAAGCAGAACAUGCUAUGCUGCGAAUUGGUGCCAAUCUUCACAUCCGAGUUGUUCCCACGACAGUCAAGCACCACUGUGAUUUGCUUCAUUGGCAAGGUAAUAUACUAUGGUGAGCUUGCACCUCAAUAUUGGUAUUGAAAAAUAUGUCAAGUAAAAGACACAAGAGUUGGCCUUUAUGACAGAUACACUCGUGUUCUUUUUUUAAAGAGCUCUUUUAGCACUGUUCUUUAUGGGCAUGUUUUCAGAGGAUGCUUAUACUCCUUUAUUACAAACUGCCA